UGGGGAAUCUUCCGCAAUGGGCGAAAGCCUGACGGAGCAACGCCGCGUGGGGGACGAAGGCCUUCGGGUCGUAAACCCCUGUCAGAGGGAAAGAAGGGCGUCGGCGUUAACAGCGCUGGCGCUUGACGGUACUCUCAAAGGAAGCCACGGCCAACUCCGUGCCAGCAGCCGCGGUAAUACGGGGGUGGCAAGCGUUGUUCGGAAUUACUGGGCGUAAAGGGCGCGUAGGCGGGGAGAUAAGUCGGGUGUGAAAUCCCUCGGCUCAACCGAGGAACUGCGCCCGAGACUGUCUUUCUUGAGUCCCGGAGAGGAAGGUGGAAUUCCCGGUGUAGCGGUGAAAUGUGUAGAGAUCGGGAGGAACACCGGUGGCGAAGGCGGCCUUCUGGACGGUGACUGACGCUGAGGCGCGAAAGCGUGGGGAGCAAACGGGAUUAGAUACCCCGGUAGUCCACGCUGUAAACUAUGGGUGCUAGGUGUGGGGGGUAUCGGACCCUCCCGUGCCGAAGCUAACGCAUUAAGCACCCGCCUGGGGAGUACGGCCGCAAGG
This 547-nucleotide ribosomal RNA is filed under the name uncultured bacterium. RNAcentral's name for it is "bacterial SSU rRNA". It matches the Rfam family "Bacterial small subunit ribosomal RNA", at positions 355 to 893 of the family's 1533-position model. The record is from RNAcentral.